GCCGGGCGGAGAAGCAAAGGAGAGGGAAGCUGGAAGCACCUUUGGCCCGGGACAGAAAUCUGGAGAGCUUGGCUACCUCCAUCCUCCUCAGGCCGGAGCAGGCUUCCUGAGAGAGUCCAGGUCGUAGGAGUUUUACGACUUAGAAAAGCGGGCUGCAGAUUCCUUCCUGGGUGUUUGGUUCAAGCCUUGGCUCCAGCCUCACUCUCAGUCUUCCCGGGAGUUCGUGGGAUUUGGACCUUAGAUUAUUAGUAUUAUUUUGAGGGCCUCCUGUGUGUAAGCACUGGUUGUGCGCAGAUGGCUGUGCAGAGGGCCAUGAGGUAGAGGCUGGGGAAAUGAGGGCUUGGAGGUGCUUGAGGUAUGGUCUUUACCUACGUGAAAUGUUGGAGGUUGAGAUGAAAACUCUUGCUUUGAAUUCUUCAUGGAGGACUACAUCAUUUCAAUCCUGAAUCUGGCUCAAUUCUAUUAUUCACUUAUUACUGUAUUAAAAACGUUUAAUUGGCCAGGCACAGUGGUUCACGCCUGUAAUCCCAGCACUUUGGGAGGCCAAGGCAGGCGGAUCACUUGAGGUCAGGAGUUCGACACCAGCCUGGCCAACAUGGCAAAACCCCGCCUCUACUAAAAAUACAAAAAUUAGCCAGGCGUGGUGGCACGCACCUGUAAUCACAGCUACUUAGGAGGCUGAGGUGGCAGAAUUGUUUGAACCCAGGAGGUGGAGGUUGCAGUGAGCCGAGAUCACACCACUGCACUCAAGCCUUGGCAUCAGAGUGAGACUCUGUCUCAGUAAAAAAAAAAUAAAUAAAUAAAAAUGUUUAAUUAACCAUGAUAUUUGCUUUGGUAAAACCUUUGAGGUUUAAUGAGAAUUUUAAAAUUCAUUAUACUUUUCUUAUGGCAUAUAAAAGUUUUAAUUUUUUUUAUUGUCUCAACUAACAUCAUAAAUGUCUUAAUGUUAAAAUCCAUGGGAUAUUCUAUUUAAAAUUUUAGCUUUAUCACCUUUGUGCUAUCAGAGAAUGUGCUUUGAACUGGUAAAAUGAGUUAAAGUAUUGGAAAACACUUAUGUCAGCAGAGGCUCUUAAAAAUCAUUUUCAUCCUUCCUCUUCUAGUGAUGAUUUUUUUUUAACCCAUGUUUUCACCAGUCUACCAAUCCAAUGGCAUAAAUGCUCCUACAUAGGCAACUUAAGUGUUUCUUAAGUUGAUGCAAGGUAUUUUGCAUGAGGCUGAAUUCUUGUUGUCGGAGCAGAGGAUUUUUGUUCCAACUACUGAAUUGGCAAAAUGUUAAAUAUAAAAACACCUCAAAAAGUCAAAGGUAGUCUGAAUGAAAAAUUUAUUUUAAACACCUCAAGUAAUCUUUACAUUUCUACAAAAUCAUAACAUAGUUCUUUUCCAGAAACAUUUAUUCUUAAAAUCUACUUA
This 1410-nucleotide long non-coding RNA is filed under the name Homo sapiens (human). Its description in RNAcentral is "small nucleolar RNA host gene 30". Lineage: Eukaryota; Metazoa; Chordata; Mammalia; Primates; Hominidae. The record is from RNAcentral.